Molecule: ribosomal RNA, 412 nt
Filed under: uncultured Alphaproteobacteria bacterium
Lineage: Bacteria; Pseudomonadati; Pseudomonadota; Alphaproteobacteria
Description: bacterial SSU rRNA
Rfam family: Bacterial small subunit ribosomal RNA
Source: RNAcentral
GUCUGAGAGGAUGAUCAGCCACACUGGGACUGAGACACGGCCCAGACUCCUACGGGAGGCAGCAGUGGGGAAUAUUGGACAAUGGGCGAAAGCCUGAUCCAGCAAUGCCGCGUGAGUGAUGAAGGCCUUAGGGUUGUAAAGCUCUUUUACCCGGGAUGAUAAUGACAGUACCGGGAGAAUAAGCUCCGGCUAACUUCGUGCCAGCAGCCGCGGUAAUACGAGGGGAGCUAGCGUUAUUCGGAAUUACUGGGCGUAAAGCGCACGUAGGCGGCUUUGUAAGUUAGAGGUGAAAGCCCAGAGCUCAACUCUGGAAUUGCCUUUAAGACUGCAUCGCUUGAAUCCAGGAGAGGUGAGUGGAAUUCCGAGUGUAGAGGUGAAAUUCGUAGAUAUUCGGAAGAACACCAGUGGCGAA